AUUGAACGCUGGCGGCAUGCUUUACACAUGCAAGUCGAACGGCAGCGCGGGCUUCGGCCUGGCGGCGAGUGGCGAACGGGUGAGUAAUACAUCGGAACGUGCCCAGUAGUGGGGGAUAGCUCGGCGAAAGCCGGAUUAAUACCGCAUACGACCUGAGGGUGAAAGCGGGGGAUCUUCGGACCUCGCGCUAUUGGAGCGGCCGAUGGCAGAUUAGCUAGUUGGUGGGGUAAAGGCCUACCAAGGCGACGAUCUGUAGCUGGUCUGAGGGGACGACCAGCCACACUGGGACUGAGACACGGCCCAGACUCCUACGGGAGGCAGCAGUGGGGAAUUUUGGACAAUGGGCGAAAGCCUGAUCCAGCAAUGCCGCGUGUGUGAUGAAGGCCUUCGGGUUGUAAAGCACUUUUGGCGGGAACGAAAAGGACUGUGCCAAUACCACGGUUCGAUGAUGGUACCCGCAGAAUAAGCACCGGCUAACUACGUG
RNAcentral lists this ribosomal RNA (484 nucleotides) under uncultured bacterium. Its description in RNAcentral is "partial 16S ribosomal RNA". It matches the Rfam family "Bacterial small subunit ribosomal RNA", at positions 29 to 507 of the family's 1533-position model. The record is from RNAcentral.